GAUGAACGCUGGCGGCGUGCCUAAUACAUGCAAGUCGAGCGAACGGACGAGAAGCUUGCUUCUCUGAUGUUAGCGGCGGACGGGUGAGUAACACGUGGAUAACCUACCUAUAAGACUGGGAUAACUUCGGGAAACCGGAGCUAAUACCGGAUAAUAUUUUGAACCGCAUGGUUCAAAAGUGAAAGACGGUCUUGCUGUCACUUAUAGAUGGAUCCGCGCUGCAUUAGCUAGUUGGUAAGGUAACGGCUUACCAAGGCAACGAUGCAUAGCCGACCUGAGAGGGUGAUCGGCCACACUGGAACUGAGACACGGUCCAGACUCCUACGGGAGGCAGCAGUAGGGAAUCUUCCGCAAUGGGCGAAAGCCUGACGGAGCAACGCCGCGUGAGUGAUGAAGGUCUUCGGAUCGUAAAACUCUGUUAUUAGGGAAGAACAUAUGUGUAAGUAACUGUGCACAUCUUGACGGUACCUAAUCAGAUAGCCACGGCUAACUACGUGCCAGCAGCCGCGGUAAUACGUAGGUGGCAAGCGUUAUCCGGAAUUAUUGGGCGUAAAGCGCGCGUAGGCGGUUUUUUAGUCUGAUGUGAAAGCCCACGGCUCAACCGUGGAGGGUCAUUGGAAACUGGAAAACUUGAGUGCAGAAGAGGAAAGUGGAAUUCCAUGUGUAGCGGUGAAAUGCGCAGAGAUAUGGAGGAACACCAGUGGCGAAGGCGACUUUCUGGUCUGUAACUGACGCUGAUGUGCGAAAGCGUGGGGAUCAAACAGGAUUAGAUACCCUGGUAGCCCACGCCGUAAACGAUGAGUGCUAAGUGUUAGGGGGUUUCCGCCCCUUAGUGCUGCAGCUAACGCAUUAAGCACUCCGCCUGGGGAGUACGACCGCAAGGUUGAAACUCAAAGGAAUUGACGGGGACCCGCACAAGCGGUGGAGCAUGUGGUUUAAUUCGAAGCAACGCGAAGAACCUUACCAAAUCUUGACAUCCUUUGACAACUCUAGAGAUAGAGCCUUCCCCUUCGGGGGACAAAGUGACAGGUGGUGCAUGGUUGUCGUCAGCUCGUGUCGUGAGAUGUUGGGUUAAGUCCCGCAACGAGCGCAACCCUUAAGCUUAGUUGCCAUCAUUAAGUUGGGCACUCUAAGUUGACUGCCGGUGACAAACCGGAGGAAGGUGGGGAUGACGUCAAAUCAUCAUGCCCCUUAUGAUUUGGGCUACACACGUGCUACAAUGGACAAUACAAAGGGCAGCGAAACCGCGAGGUCAAGCAAAUCCCAUAAAGUUGUUCUCAGUUCGGAUUGUAGUCUGCAACUCGACUACAUGAAGCUGGAAUCGCUAGUAAUCGUAGAUCAGCAUGCUACGGUGAAUACGUUCCCGGGUCU
RNAcentral lists this ribosomal RNA (1371 nucleotides) under uncultured bacterium. RNAcentral's name for it is "bacterial SSU rRNA". It matches the Rfam family "Bacterial small subunit ribosomal RNA", at positions 28 to 1381 of the family's 1533-position model. The record is from RNAcentral.